This 417-nucleotide ribosomal RNA is filed under the name uncultured Burkholderia sp. RNAcentral's name for it is "bacterial SSU rRNA". It matches the Rfam family "Bacterial small subunit ribosomal RNA", at positions 343 to 752 of the family's 1533-position model. Lineage: Bacteria; Pseudomonadati; Pseudomonadota; Betaproteobacteria; Burkholderiales; Burkholderiaceae. The record is from RNAcentral.
GGGGGGCAGCAGUGGGGAAUUUUGGACAAUGGGGGCAAGCCUGAUCCAGCCAUGCCGCGUGUGUGAAGAAGGCCUUCGGGUUGUAAAGCACUUUUGUCCGGAAAGAAAUCCUUGGGGCUAAUACCCUGGGGGGAUGACGGUACCGGAAGAAUAAGCACCGGCUAACUACGUGCCAGCAGCCGCGGUAAUACGUAGGGUGCGAGCGUUAAUCGGAAUUACUGGGCGUAAAGCGUGCGCAGGCGGUUUGGUAAGUCAGAUGUGAAAUCCCCGGGCUCAACCUGGGAACUGCAUUGGUGACUGCCCGGCUAGAGUACGGCAGAGGGGGGUGGAAUUCCGCGUGUAGCAGUGAAAUGCGUAGAUAUGCGGAGGAACACCGAUGGCGAAGGCAGCCCCCUGGGCCUGCACUGACGCUCAUGC